GUGCCAGCAGCCGCGGUAAUACAGAGGUCCCGAGCGUUUUUCGGAUUCACUGGGCGUAAAGGGUGCGUAGGUGGUGAGGUAAGUCGGAUGUGAAAUCUCCGAGCUCAACUCGGAAAUGGCAUUGGAAACUACCUUGCUAGAGGGUUGGAGGGGGGACUGGAAUACUUGGCGUAGCAGUGAAAUGCGUAGAUAUCAAGUGGAACACCAGUGGCGAAGGCGAGUCCCUGGACAACACCUGACACUGAGGCACGAAAGCUAGGGGAGCAAACAGGAUUAGAUACCCUGGUAGUCC
This 292-nucleotide ribosomal RNA is filed under the name uncultured bacterium. RNAcentral's name for it is "partial 16S ribosomal RNA". It matches the Rfam family "Bacterial small subunit ribosomal RNA", at positions 505 to 796 of the family's 1533-position model. The record is from RNAcentral.